Long non-coding RNA from Oncorhynchus tshawytscha (Chinook salmon), 742 nucleotides. The record is from Ensembl. Lineage: Eukaryota; Metazoa; Chordata; Actinopteri; Salmoniformes; Salmonidae.
GUGCAAUUGACAUGCUGACUUCAGGAAUGUCCACCAGAGCAGUUGCCAGAGAAUUGAAUGUUCAUCAAUGUCGUUUUAGAGAAUUUGGCAGUACACCCAACUGGCCUCACAACCACAGACCACAUCGUAACCACUCCAGGCCAGGACCUCCACAUCCGGCUUCUUCACCUGGGGGAUCGUCUGAGACCAGCCACCCGGACAGCUGAGGAGUAUUUCUGUCUGUAAUAAAUCCCUUUUGUGGGGAAAUUGUCUGGGCCUUGCUUCCAAGUGGCGGUGAGGAAAGGAAGGAACUGAACACAGAAAGGGCCCGUGUAGGGAGAGCCUUUUGGAGGGUGACGCAGAUACUAAGCUAUGUCACAAAGGGAGGAGUCUACACUACCUAGAUACUUCAAAUCUCUGAACAGGAUUCCACCAUAUUGCUUCUAUUGUCAAGACAUUUCACAUCAGUGGCAAUCCAGGGAAGGAGAUGAGGAAAGAGGCCUAUUGAAGACUAUUAGGACACUUUCUGCUCUCUCCCCUCUGGUCUCCACUUGUCAUCACAUUUCACUGGUGAGAGAAGGGUUUAGCUUAGACAAGGACUUCACAGUAUUAUGAGGAACAUAAUGAAAUGGACUGUCAGUGUGUUGGAUAAAUUAUCUCAUUGUCGUAGUAUGACUGCUAUGAGUAGAAUAAUUCAUUAGCAUUAGGCCUAUUGCAAGUGCAAAAUAAACUGAUGACGAAUGAAUCCAAUAAAGUCUCAUAC